AUAUCAAAUGCUUUCCCGAUUAUCUCUCUCUCGCUGGUCUCUCUCUAAACUAGGGUCUCACUACCCUCUCUUCUCACUGCCUUGUCUCUCUCUUUGGCGGUGACAGUUACGGUUUAGUGGUAAUGGCGACGGUGAGUUGUCAAUUUCACUGAAGAAGGGCUACAAGUGUGUGCAAUCUACACAGAAGAAAAGCAGAGGCAUAUCGAUUUGCAGGUGCAGGAGGAAUAAGUUCAAGCAGCUAUAUAUUUACAGUGGUAUUCCCAUCUUCACUUCUGCUCGUGACCUGAAAUUCCUUUAAGAGGCCUUCUUCAAAGUCCAGAAAACAAGGGCUUAUUUUAAGCUUUUCCAGGUUAAAUUCAAGGGAAAGACAGGUGGUUAGUAAAUAAAAUCAAUGACAUCGAAAGGUCAUGGUAAUGAACGAUGUAAGAAAGGUAAGAAAUGACCUGAUAAUCUUCCUGCAGGUCAAUAUAAAGCACCAUAACCACCACCUGUUACCACAACUCUUCAACCAGCUACUAAAAAUCUUUCUCCUCUCCCAAGGUCAACUAUUUCACUACCAAAUGCAUUUUUCAUGCCCUUACCAUCUGACAAGUUCCACACCUCUUCUUCCCAUAAUAGUCUGCAUAGUAGCUCUUCAUCUGUACCUUUAGCAUUAUCCACAACUAGCCUUUCUGGAUUGAGAAUUGGAGGUCCUAGCACAUCAACAUCACGAUCCACUGAUAGGGCUACAAUGACUAAUACUACAGCAGGUGCUUCCCAGAAUCUAAAAUUUAAAGAGGUAUUAGAAUAUGACAACCACGAGAGGCUAAUUAUCGUCCCUGAUGGUGAUAGGUAAGUAACCCUUAUGUUUUUCCUUAAUUUUUAAAAUUUUUGAAAGCUAAGAUGAUCUAAUAUAAUUUUAUUGCAAGUUCAUUGUUGCAUAUGUCGGCGGACAUAUGGUUAUAGAAGCAGUUAAACCAUUUUCACGAAACCGUGGAAUAGUUGGAACGAGAUUCGCUACUACAUCAGAAUUCUUAUGUGGAAACAGUUUAUGACAAAGUGUGCAUGGAAGACUUUUUAUGAAAAUGAAAUACAAGAUAUUUUCAAGUUGAAAGCAGCUCUACGGAUCAAAGAACACUUGUAUGAGGCCCGAAAGAAAUUGCAAACCUGGUUGGCUGACAAAUGAUAUGUCGAUUAAGUUCUUGGAAAAAUGGGAUACUGAUGUACCUCAAGUUAUAAAAACUUAUUCUAGGAGGCCAAAAUAAACAAUUGGGAAACUUAGUAACUGUCAUGAGACAUUUACACAUAUAUUGGGUGGUUUUUUUUUGUAGAAAAGGGAUAGGACAGUAGGCACAAAUAUUUAGAAAAGAAAAAGGAAUCUUCUGGGAGAGUUCUAGCCUCUCGAAUGUCUAGGAAUGCUGGAAUUUGUGUAAUCUUAGUAGUAUGUACUGUAUUAGUGGAUUUCAUAUGUGUUAGGUUGUCUCUAACAGUAUUAGUAGUUUCUUAGUGACUGUUUUCAGAUUUAUUGUUGUAAUAUCAGAAUAUCUAGCGUAAAACAUCAAUAUUUGUUUCUCUA
Capsicum annuum is the source of this 1555-nucleotide long non-coding RNA. RefSeq lists it as uncharacterized. Lineage: Eukaryota; Viridiplantae; Streptophyta; Magnoliopsida; Solanales; Solanaceae. The transcript is spliced from 4 exons. The record is from RefSeq and is a predicted model, not a curated record.